GGAUGUAGUUCAGUGGUAAAGUGCUUGCCUGGCAUACAUGAGGCCCUGGGUUCGAUCCCCAACACCA
RNAcentral lists this transfer RNA (67 nucleotides) under Marmota monax (woodchuck). RNAcentral describes it as "tRNA.Ala". The record is from RNAcentral. Lineage: Eukaryota; Metazoa; Chordata; Mammalia; Rodentia; Sciuridae.